GGCCCCAUCGUCUAGUGGCCAAGGACGCGGGAUUCUCAGUCCCGAAACCCGGGUUCAAAUCCCGGUGGGGCCA
Molecule: transfer RNA, 73 nt
Filed under: Armatimonadota bacterium
Lineage: Bacteria; Bacillati; Armatimonadota
Also listed under: 2 other names
Description: Armatimonadetes bacterium (hot springs metagenome) tRNA-Glu
Rfam family: tRNA
About the family: Transfer RNA (tRNA) molecules are approximately 80 nucleotides in length.
Source: RNAcentral